GGUGAUACUGAUCAUCCACUAUGUGAUAAAAAAAGUGUACAAAGUUAACAAUGGCCUCUCAAAUGCAAAUAAAACAAAAAGAAACCGACCUCAACCCUCAAAAUCAAUCAACCCCCAGUAGUUUAACCUCACAAUAGCUCUCUUAGACUUGUGAUUUCCCUUGUUCAUUCUCUUUAGAAAUACAAGACUCACCAACUUAAAAAAAGAGAGAGAGAGAGAGAGAGAAUCCAAUACCCAAUUACAAGUUACUGAAAAUAUAUAUAUAAAACAGAUUAAAAAAGCACGCGCCGCGCCCGUCCCCCAAUUCCUGCUUUGCGACGCUGAAAAAUAUCGCUUUCCCCAAAAAGACAAAUGAAUCAGUUACAGAAAUAUAUCUAAUUAUAAUGGACAUUGUUAAAUUAAUGAAGAAGAGUAGAGAGAGAGCAAACGAGAAGGAAAGCGUAUACAAAUUAUAAUUACUAACCAGAGUUAUUAGCACCAUUACAUAUAUAUAUCCCUGCUGAAUCCCCCCUCCUCUGUUCACCAUUCGUUUCUAAAAUGGAUUAAAAAAUAACUACUAAUUAAUUUUAAUUAAAAUAGAGUGAGCAUGCAAUGCAUGCAGGAGAUCUAGAAAGCAAUUAUAUAAGGUUGUAAUUGGAGCAUCUUCCAUGUAUUUUGUAAAUAGAGUGAGCAUGCAAUGCAUGCAAUGUAUUUUGUAAUUGCAGCCGCGCACUUCACUUAAUGUCGAUGUUGGGAAUGUGGCGUAUCUUUGGCCAGUCCUCUCCUGUCUCCUUUCUGCAACGUUCUUCUAAAAUAUGACAUCCCCACAAAAUCUCCAAUUUCUGCAGCGUUGUCUUCUGAAGAAGGUGAUCGGGCAGUGCUUUUAAUUUAGGGCAUUCAUCAAUUGACAAGGAAGAAAGACGUGGCAUGAUUAUGAUUUCUCCCUUUAUUGCAGUCCCGAAAUCCAACUCUUCCAGUUCUUCCAUAAUGCGAAAUCUGAGCUCUUUCAAUUUGGGAAAGGCAAUAACUGAGGAGCCAUCCGUAUCACUUUCUACUCCCAGAAAUUCAUUGCCCACUCUUUUCACACUUUUCAUUACUUCAAUUUCAAGAUAUUCAAGGGAUGGCAAUUUUCCCAAAGGAGGCAAAUGCUCGCAAUUUAUCCACCCGUAGAGAACUAAAGCCCUUAAAUUGGUUAACGACAUGAACCAAUUUAUGGGGACAACAUUCCUCCUCCCUCUGUAACCACCACCUAUCCGUAAUUUCUUUAAAUUAGGAGGUGGUCCCAAGGCUUCAAGAAGCCGUUCAUCUUCAUCCUCCUCAUUCUCCCUCCUCCCAGCUUGUUCUUCAUCUCCAUCUCUUACAUAAUUAAAAUAAAGUCCCAACUCAACGAGAUUUUUCUUUUUCUCAAGUUCAGCCCUUCGAGCCUCCCCCGCAUCUGACACACCACCCAGCCCAUAUAUCCUGCAGUCUUGAAGGAGAUUAAGCUUUUUAAGAGACCCAAGGCUACAUGCUCUGCCAUACCCUCCGCCCACAUCAAACUGUCUCACCCUCCGAAGACUGAUUAAUUCCCCAAUCCCUACUGGCAAGUAUCUUAAAAACCAAGUGUCAUCAUUGUCUAAAUACAUCAGCUUUCUUAACUUCCCAAUCCCUUGAGGUAAUUCUCUAAGAUUAAAACAACCACUAACAUUUAAACGUUCUAAAUUAUAUAACUCACACAAUGUCUCGGGUAAUUUUUGUAUCCACUCUUGAUGGGCCAAACUAAGGUAUUUCAAAUGUAUCAAUUUUUCUAUAUUUUUUGGAAUUUCGUUGAUGUGAUUCACACAUGACCACAUAUCACUCGCAUUUAAUUCUAAUGCCCUUAAACAAGUUAAUUUACCAAAUAAUUGAGGUAGGACUUCGCUAGACCAUGAAUAUUCAUCACCCUCAACCAAGAGGCUACGCAAUCGUCUCAUUCUCUUAACAUUAUUCCAAAUGGCUAUCGGGACUGAAGUCCCCUCGUCUAUAGUUAACCUUAAAUGAAGAACUUUUUUCUGCUCAAAGGAACUCAUAAUUGACUCUUCACCACCAGGAAUUUCCACUGUUAAACAUUCAUUCCUGCAUAUAAAUUGGGCAAGAUCGUGCACUAAAUCGUGCAUUUUGCACUUAUAGACUUUACCAUCACCAUCUCUUUCGAACUCUUGAAAAAAUGAACUACUAGCUAAAAUGUUGAAAUACUCUUCACCUAUGUCCUCCAUCUCUUUGUUUCCUUUCUCAUUAAGGUAACCUUGAGCCAUCCAUAGUUCAAUUAACUUAUACUUCCGUAUUUCUAGGUCUUUCGGAAAAACAGCACAAUAUGAGAAACAAUGUUUUACCUUAGAGGGCAAUUCAUUGUAACUCAACAACAGAGGGGCCAAUAGACCUCUCUCAACCACUUCGUGAUCCCAUAUCUCACUCUUUAAAAUAUUUUGCCAUUCUUCUUCAGUGUUUUUAGACCUUAAAAGGCUACCAAUGGUCUUUACAGCUAGAGGUAAGCCCUUGCAUUUUCCUACAAUUUCUCGACCAAUUUUUUUUAAAUUCUCACAUCCCUCCAUGGACUUGCCGAAAAAUGCUAAUGACUCAAAAAUUGACCAGCAUUCCUUUUUAGACAAAAGAUCAAUUGGGAUAAUUUUAGUUGAUCUCAUAUUAUGGGCAGUUGUUUCAUCACGUGUAGUAAUUAAAAUUUUACUUCCAUGGAGACCAUUCUUUAAACAAUUGUAGAAUGGUUCCCAUUUAGAGUAAUCUUUAUUCCACACGUCGUCUAAGAUAAGAAGAAAUUUCUUCCCUUCAACACAUUCUUGAAUAUGUUGCAUGAGAGAUUGAAACUCUACAAGGUCUUUGGCGGAACCUGGCUUCAGAGCCUCAAUGAUUGCCCUAGCAAUUUUGAACUCAUCAAACGGGUCUGACACACAGACCCAUAUUCUUUUCUCAAAAUGAUUUUUAACAUCAUCGUUGUUGUAGGCUAAUUGAGCAAGAGUAGUUUUGCCUAUGCCCCCCAUCCCAACAAGUGAGAUGACACAGGGGCCUUUCUGCUCUUCACUACUCUCACAUAACAGCCUAUUAACCAGAUCGUUCUUCUGUGUUUCUCUACCAAAUAUCUCGGACUCAUCAAUUAAGGAGAUACUUGGUACUCGUUGAUCCGCUCUCUCAUUACUGUUAAUAACAUUCACAGCAAAACCAAACUCGGCUUUUUGUUUGGCAAUAUCAUCAAGAGUUUCGUUGAUUUCUUUGAUCUUGAGAGCAAUGUCACGACGUAGAACAAGUGGUUUGCAGGCAAAGCAAGAGGCAGCAGGAAAGAAGGAACAUACCUUCUUCUUAGGAACGAGAGCAUCAUUCUCAUGAUCAUCCACUCCAUCGAUCUGCAGUUUGAGCCUUGCAGUGUUCCACUCACCCAACACGUCUUCCAUGUCGUAACAUGCGUCUCUGAGUUGAUCGAGCCAGAGUCUGACAGUUUCCUCCUUCACUUGCCUUUUCUCUGCAUCAUGGAGCACAGCUUCAAUGGCUCGGAGACUGCUGGUCAGCUUCUUCACUUCCUUUCCGACACCCGUUACUAGCCUCACUUGUUCCUUCGCCUCUGCAACGACCAUUGAAGUCAGCUGCUCCAAGAUAGGGGAAAGGAUCGCAUCAACCAUGGUGAAAAAGAAGAAAGAGAGAGAGAAGAAAUUGAUGGUGAAUUGUUGCAAAAGUAAGUAAUGCUGAAAGAAAUGAAGGAGAUGAUAAUGUGGUGAAAAUGUUGCCGUAUUCUUUCAAUUCUUAUAGUGCUGCAAGCAAAAUUCCCAAUUUAGAAAUAUUUCAAUUCAUCAGAAGUUAUUGUUAUUAUCUUUCUUUUUGUUUUUUUUAAAUUUUUUUAACCAGUGUGGUAUAUGAAACUGACAAAAUUGUUAUAUAAUAUAUUAUCUCUCUUUUCAAUAAUUGAACAAGUUGUUAUAUAAUAUAUUGUCUCUCUUUUCAAUAAUUGAACGAGUUGUUAUAUAAUAUACAUUAUCGUGUGAGCAGAUACAUUG
RNAcentral lists this long non-coding RNA (3998 nucleotides) under Citrus maxima (pomelo). RNAcentral describes it as "long non-coding RNA (CMAX_LNC000952)". Lineage: Eukaryota; Viridiplantae; Streptophyta; Magnoliopsida; Sapindales; Rutaceae. The record is from RNAcentral.